RNAcentral lists this ribosomal RNA (511 nucleotides) under uncultured eukaryote. RNAcentral describes it as "SSU rRNA". It matches the Rfam family "Eukaryotic small subunit ribosomal RNA", at positions 36 to 567 of the family's 1831-position model. The record is from RNAcentral.
AUUUAAGAUAGCCAUGCACGCCUUAGUACUUACUCUAGUAAAGUGAAACCGCGAAAGGCUCAUUAAAUCAGUUAUGGUUCCUUAGAGCCAGUAUUGACAAGGAUAACUCUGGCAAACUGGAGCUAAUACAUGCAUUAUACAGAGGCCUAGUCUCUGUGCUCUUAUUAGAUCAAAACCAGUAUUGGUUGAUGACUCCAGAUAAUAUUGCCAACCACUGCUAGCUUUGCUAGGUGGUGUAUCUUUCAAAUGUCUGCCCUAUCAAUUGCUGAUGGUAGUUAACCUGCCUACCAUGAUAGUAACGGGUAACGGAGAAUCAGGGUUUGACUCCGGAGAGGGAGCCUGAGAAAUGGCUGCCACAUCUAAGGAAGGCAGCAGGCGCGCAAAUUACCCACUCCCUGAGAGGGGAGGUAGUGACGAGAAAUUACAAUGCUGAGCACAAUGUUGUUUAGUAAUUGUCUUGAGUGUGAUUUAAAAUGCUACUCAAGGAUCUAUUGGAGGGCAAGUCUGGUCC